RNAcentral lists this ribosomal RNA (576 nucleotides) under uncultured bacterium. RNAcentral's name for it is "partial 16S ribosomal RNA". It matches the Rfam family "Bacterial small subunit ribosomal RNA", at positions 355 to 923 of the family's 1533-position model. The record is from RNAcentral.
UGGGGAAUUUUGGACAAUGGGCGAAAGCCUGAUCCAGCAAUGCCGCGUGUGUGAAGAAGGCCUUCGGGUUGUAAAGCACUUUUGUCCGGAAAGAAAUCCUUGGCUCUAAUACAGUCGGGGGAUGACGGUACCGGAAGAAUAAGCACCGGCUAACUACGUGCCAGCAGCCGCGGUAAUACGUAGGGUGCAAGCGUUAAUCGGAAUUACUGGGCGUAAAGCGUGCGCAGGCGGUUUGCUAAGACCGAUGUGAAAUCCCCGGGCUCAACCUGGGAACUGCAUUGGUGACUGGCAGGCUAGAGUAUGGCAGAGGGGGGUAGAAUUCCACGUGUAGCAGUGAAAUGCGUAGAGAUGUGGAGGAAUACCGAUGGCGAAGGCAGCCCCCUGGGCCAAUACUGACGCUCAUGCACGAAAGCGUGGGGAGCAAAACAGGAUUAGAUACCCUGGUAGUCCACGCCCUAAACGAUGUCAACUAGUUGUUGGGGAUUCAUUUCCUUAGUAACGUAGCUAACGCGUGAAGUUGACCGCCUGGGGAGUACGGUCGCAAGAUUAAAACUCAAAGGAAUUGACGGGGUCAUA